UAAGGUCAGCAAUUGUUGCAGUCUUGUUUCUUAUAGAUCUGGCAUUACAAAGGACUGACCUGAUUGGGCAUACCAGAGGGCCUUCAGUUUUCUUUAUGUUAAGUGCAGGAGCUCUGGGUAUGGGGGUCACAAAGUGAGAGUAGACAGUUCUGUCCUUCCAGACACAGGGCCGUCUUUUGGGUAUCACUUCUAUUUGAUUGUUCUUUGAGUAUGGGGGUGAGCAGGUGGUCAAAGGACUUAGAUGGUUACCGGGGGAAAUACAUUUCCGGCCUGCUCGCUUCCCACGAAUGCGCCUGUGUUUUCUUUUUAAAAUGCCAAGGGAUUGGAGAAUAGAAGCCUGUGAUGGUGUGAUAGGAACUGCAGAGCGUGGUGGGCGGAGUGAAAGAAUGAAGCUGGAGCAAUACGUAUACAUUUGGUCAUCAAUGACAGAUUACUAUAAAUUUGAACUGCAUAUGAUGAUGAGAGAGGGAGAGAAAGCAGUGUUUGUUUUUUGUUUUUUUGUUUUUCCUUUUUGUGUUUUGUUUUCCCCCAAUUCGGUAUGUGAUCCAAAAUUAUAAUGGGAUUAUGAACAAAGUUAUUGCUAUAACCUAUUGUGUAUAUUUGAAGCAAGUAAUAAAUAAAAUAACUGCUGAUUUAGUCAAUUAUCCUAGGAUAGGCAGCCUUUUGAAAAGGUGUUAGAAGCCAAUUCCUACUGUGUAGGUGUGAAAAGUCUCAGUGUGAGAGGCCUUUGAAGUAGAUUUUUUUUUUUUUUGUGGGGGUAGAAGUGAUAACAUGUCCUGGAAAUGGAUCCUGAUUUUAAACAGUGAGCCUUCAGCAAUUCAGAGCCUGAAUAUACUGAUAUUAGUAGAUUAAUGCAAUAAGUCAGUUAUUUGUAGCUCAGAGAACAGAGGUGGAUGAUGUCUAAGUGAGGGGCUGGAUGUAGCCAAAGUUAGGUUGUAAUCCACAGUACCUUAUCUGGGUAAUGUCCAAUGCAGAGUACAGCAGCUGCUAAACUGAAGGAUUUCUCAGUGGAGAUAUGCAGAGGAUUCAGUCCAGGAUUCAAUCCAGUGUGUAUCUCAGCGCAGGAAUGCAAUCCGUUGGUUUUGAUGAAAUGUCCGCGUAGAGUAGUACAAGUUCAAGAUAAGUCCUUGGAUAUUUAUGAUGAUUCAUAGGUCAGUUGUGGUGAAUUUAAGCUGUUUUAUGGAGAUGAUCAGGAGCAUACAAAAGACGCACUUUAAAAUAAGCACGGGUCAGAGCUUGGCAUCUGUCUACACUCGGCACCAUGGGAGCCAGUCCGGCAGCAGCUGAAAUCAGCCUGGGAAAGCUGAUUUUCUGAAGGAGUCCAGACAGUGAUGACGGGGGAAGCCAUGCCGAGAUGCGGUUACACAGGCUUGGCAACUGCAGCCUUGAUGAAUUUUACUUUUUUAUGGAGCAACGUGAACCUCCCUUGAUACCGACCACACAGCCUGAAAGGAGCGCAGGGCAGAGAGAGGGAGAGGUGAGCUAGGCUGUGAGGUGGGACCUGUGACGGGGAGAGAGACACACAACAGUCACUAGCUGCAAACUUUCCAUCUCACUGUCUCCUGGGACCAGUAUACACUCAUAUGUAUUAGACUCACUUCCAAUCAUGACAAAGGUACUGUAUAUAUAAUUACACCAAAAUUUUACCCAGCAAAGGUACAAGCAGAUAUUUCAUUUACUUUAAGCCACGUUACGGCGGAUGCAUAGAAGCAAAUUAUGAUUUUAGGGGGAACCUAAAAAAUAUAAUAUGAAGUUGCGUAAAUCCUUUUUGUUACUUUUUGACUUAUUUGGGUUUGUUAGCAAAGCCAAAAAGUUAGCAAUUGGGCAAA
Pseudophryne corroboree (corroboree frog) is the source of this 1829-nucleotide long non-coding RNA. RefSeq lists it as uncharacterized. The record is from RefSeq and is a predicted model, not a curated record. NCBI's taxonomy places the organism in Eukaryota, Metazoa, Chordata, Amphibia, Anura, Myobatrachidae. The transcript has 3 exons.